Salvia splendens (bonfire salvia) is the source of this 2774-nucleotide RNA transcript. RefSeq lists it as uncharacterized. Lineage: Eukaryota; Viridiplantae; Streptophyta; Magnoliopsida; Lamiales; Lamiaceae. The record is from RefSeq and is a predicted model, not a curated record. The transcript is spliced from 7 exons.
GGGGAGCAAAAUAAAUUAGCAAAAACACGAGAAAACAAAACACUCUUCGCAUCAUAUUUUGCGCGAUAAUUCUCUUCAGGCUUCUGUCACUGGUUUGUGAUAAUUGAAUCUUUGAAAAUCCAGUGAUUUUGCAUCCUCGAAUGUAAAGUUGAAGUUUUGCAACCUCAAUUUGCAGAAAAUACCGAACUUUUUUAAGCCAAUCAGCUAAGCUUUGAAAAUCCAGUAAGUUCAAAGCAUUGAAUGUCGAGUUGAAGUUUGGAAUCUCGCUCUCUGCAGAAAACACAGAAUUUUUACUUCAAUCACCGAAGAUAAGCGUCGAAAAUCCAGUAAUUUCACAGCCUUGAAUGAUAAGUUGAAGUUUCGUACCUUGUUUGCAGAAAAUACAGAUUGCUUGAAUUCAAUCAGCGAACAUAAGCGUGCAGGGGGAAAGGAUGAAGAGUAAUGAAGCAAAGAUGUCGAGGAUGGAAGACAUACUAAACCUACCGGUUCAAGAUCCUCCUUAUUCCGAGUUUUCUGCAGCUCAUUUCAAUUGGUUUAAAGUCGAAGGUGGUCGACAAGGUGGUGAUGAUAUUGCACUGAUUCCCUUUUCUAGAGUGGAUGAUUUUGUGAAAGGUGAAUCCAGCAAUGCAGACUGCCCUGCUAGCUUUCGUGUCGAAUCAAGAAGGAAGAGACCCGAGGGGAGUCUUAGCAGACCAAGAGUCGAUGGCUAUCUUGAGUAUACAUUGUACUGGUGUUCUUAUGGUCCUGAAGACUACAGGGAUUCUGAACCUCAUAUAGGUGAAAACUCGAGCAUCAAACCUGCUUCGGGUAAGGGAAGUAGGCCAGGGAGAAGGCACAUGAUGCGGGGAUGUCUUUGUCACUUCACUGUUAAACGUUUAUACACCCGGCCUCUACUUGCUCUCAUCAUAUACAAUCAGAGAAAUCAUGUGGAUAAAACAGGAGCUCCCUGCCAUGGGAUACUUGAUCAAGAAUCUGUGGGAACUAGAGCUAUGUAUGCUCCUCGAAUAUCAGAGGAACUUCGUCAAAAGGUGAUGGCCAUGCUUCAUGUUGGAGUAUCCUUGGAUACAAUAGUCCAGCAUCACAUGGAAGAGGUGCAGAGGCAUGGGGGUCCCCAUAUCCGUGAUGAUUUCCUGGCACGCAAUGAUGUCCGUAACAUGGAAAGGCUUAUACGCAAUGCCUGCCAUGAGUUGCAUUCCAAUGUUGAAUGCAGUGUGAAGAUGUGGGUACAACGCCACCAUAAGCAUGUGUUUUACUUCGAGGAGAGUUCUGGUUCUGAAACUUUUGUAUUAGGAUUACAGUCCGAUUGGCAGCUGCAGCAGAUGCUUCGCUAUGGACAUAGUGGAUCCAUAGCUUUUCAUACUGCAUCUGGAUCUAAGAGACUUAAGGAUACUUUAUGCUCUCUACUGGCAUUCGAUUCGUCACAUAAUGCAGUUCCAGUUGCCUGGAUUAUUACUUCCUCUUCUCAUGGUAAUAAUAAUACGCACAAAUGGAUGCUGUCCCUCGUUGAGAGACUACGUGGCAAGGACACAAGAUGGAGACCCCAUGCAAUUAUAGUGGAUGAUCCCUCUUUUCAGCUCUCGGUUAUUCGUGAAGCUUUCCAAUGUCGAAUUCUAUUAUGCCUCUGGCAUGUUCGUCGUGGUUGGCUUAAAAGCCUAUUAAAACACUGUCACAAUUUUGAUGCUCAAAGAGAGAUGUUUAAGCACCUAGGCAGGAUAUUGUAUAGCGCAGGGAAUGUGUCGAGCACUGCAGUUGCGGUUGAAGAGUUCCUGCAAAUAUAUGUUGAUCAGUCUGAAUUUGUAGAGUAUUUCAGAAGUAAAUGGCUGCCAAAAUUAGAUUUAUGGUUCAAUUGUGUCGGGACUCUCCCAGUGGCAGGGCUAGAGCAUUAUGCUUCAAUAGAAUCCUAUCACCUGCGAUUAAAAUCGAGGGUCCUCUCUUUGUUGGUGGAAAAGUCACACAGAAUUGAUUUGUUGAUUCAUGCGUUGACAACCCAAUUUCACUCCUUCUACUGGUUCGACACAUAUAUAGUGGAGACGGGGUAUUUUGAAAAUCUAAGGGAUAGAUUCAGUUUAACCAACCCAUGGUAUCAGGCAGAGCAUAUCUCGGAUAUGGAUGUCCUGCUGGAUGAGGAAAAUCUCCAGUUUGCAAAAGUUGUUUCUCAGGCAGAUAGUAGCAUGGCUUAUACGUUAUGGAAUCCUGGUUCUGAGUUCGGGUUGUGUGAUUGCUCCUGGUCAAUGGUGGGUAAUAUGUGUAAACACACAAUCAAGGUGGCAAUUUACUGCCGUAGUCGGCAGAUUGCGAGGCCAUUAUUGUCUGCUCAAGUUUAUAUGGAAACCUUGCUUAGCCUGCUACAGAACCUUCCAGAUGACCCUCUAGUUCUUGGACAUGCAAUUUCACUCGUGAAUCGCAUGAAACAAGACAUCAAAAACAUGGAGGAUUUGUCGAAUUGUGGGUUGUUACAGCCAGUGUCUUCAGGGACAAACUCCAUAUUGGCAGAAAAUAUUCAGCCUUUGCCACGGAUCAAUUGAUCUGGAUUACUUAUGCAGGUCUUGCUUCCAAGUUCCAAUUCCAUAAAUUUUGGCUGAAACUGAAGCGUAAAAUGUGUGACCCCCCUUUUGGUAGAUUCUAGCUUUUAAAUGGAACGAUCUGAAGAUUGAAUCUCAUUGUCUCAGGGAUAAAUAGAAACACAAGUUGUUCUAGUGGUGGUGGGAUAGCUUCUUAACAAGAAAGUGAAUGUGUGGAGUCUGAAAAUGGAGGUAAUCAAGGUUUCGGUGGUG